Equus caballus (horse) is the source of this 3076-nucleotide long non-coding RNA. NCBI's taxonomy places the organism in Eukaryota, Metazoa, Chordata, Mammalia, Perissodactyla, Equidae. The record is from Ensembl.
CAAAGUAUGAACCCAAGUAUAGCUGGAUGACCAAGGAGCCCUCUUCCAUCUGACUGAAUCUCAUCCAAUUUUGAGGGGAGGAGCCUGCAUGGAGAGCAAACUCUGGGGUAAAAUUACAUGAUCUCACUGCCUGAAGGAUACCAGGCUUAGGUGCAGAGUCACAAAAGUGAAACUGUGCACCUACUACCCGCCAGGAAAUGAACCAGGCCAUGAGAACACAAAACAGGCAGACACAGACGGCCCUUGAGUUCACGGAAAGCAGAUUCUCAUGCAGAUCACAUUAACCUCACAGGGCAAACAAGAGAUUAAAGUGCUGGGAAUAGGGAUACCAGACUUGAGAGUUGGAGAGCUUGCCCCUGACCUCUGUCUAUCAUCAUAAAGAAUACACCAUAAGAAGACGUAGUUCAGGAAAUGAAACUAGAGGGCUGCCACACUUUUCAACUUUCUGUCUAUUAAGCAUUACUUCAGAAAGAUUCGGUCAUGUCAGUGAAAAACAAUUCUGAAAUCACGCAAUUACCGAACAGCUCAAGGCAUAUCAUCAACGUACUUGAAAACAAAGGAUUUUCUACUGGCAGUGUGCUUUGCUGUGGCAUCGAUGUAUCUUCUAAGUUGCAGUCACCCUCCAUAGGGCUAUUCACGAAUAUGAUACAUCUUAAACUCUAUAUAGCUGCUAUGAACAUUCCUGUAUGUUUUCUUUUCUCUUGGAUAAGUACCUAGGAAUGGAAUGGUUCCUAUACAUGAUAUUUCCAAAAAUGAAAUGGGAGGGCCAAAUCUGCUCUUUAAGAUAUAAAAAAUGUAAGACUGACACUUCACUCGUAACAAUGAGAACAAGUUGGUUAAAGACACACAGAAAGCUAAGUAAACUAAAUUCUCAAAAUAAAUGAGCUCUUCCUAGUAGAAAAGAGCUCUCAGGGCUGAUUUCAUUGCUGGAGGAAGGAUGACCAGAGAAGGAAAUCUCCACAGGUGGAGUAAAAGAAACCAGCUGAUUUUCUUCAUAAACAUAUCCAGCCCCUGUGAGCUGAGAUGAUGAUCCUGAGUUCCAGGUAGGAUCCUGCUGAAGGCUGGGCAGAAGGCAGCAAAGAAGAGCGAAAGUUACAUCUGGGCUGUAAAGCAGAGAGAGAAGCUAUUAUUUGAAAACUGGUGACACACUGUGAAGCACAAACAGCUCUUUGGCUAUUUGUUAGCACUGUGUUGAUGAAAAGUCCUGAUCCUGCCUUCAAAACAUUUGAAGCUGCGGUAAACUGAAGCUAACUUGAUGCACAACAGAGCCCAGACCUAACUCAGUGAGAGAAACAAUUGCCUCUGAUCCCUAUGGUAGCCUCCUGACAGAGGGCAAAUAAUAUUUAUUUCAAACUCUGCUCUGCCUCUAUAACCAAUGUCCAAAAUAUAAUUUAAAAAAUAUGAAACACAAACAGAAGCCAGAAAUGUGACUCAUACUGAAGAGAAUCACAGGCAUCAGAAGCAGAUGCCCAGAUAGCCCACAUAUUGGAAUCAGUAGACACGAGUUUCAAAGCAACUAUGAAAAGCAUACACGUGAUACAUCUUCUCCACACUUUUACUUAUAAAUUCUGUGUGUUUUUAGCUUUGAAGUGUGAUGUUUCUUAUAAUGCCUGUAAAACUGUUUACUGUUUGGCAGGAUAUUGUUGUAAUUCAAAGAUGCAUAUGGUAAAUUUGAGUUAAAAAUUUAACACACAGAAAAAUAUCUAAAAAGUCAAUUGUGGGAAUGAUAUAUAACAGUAAAAAGCAUACUCAAUUUACCCAAAAGAAGGGAGGAAGGAAGAAUAAAGGUAUAAGGAAUACAUGGGAAAAAUAGAAAAUAAAUAGCAAAACGGUCAACUUUAACCUAAACCUAUCAAUAUUUAGAUAAAAUAUAAAUGCACUAAACAGUCUAAAAAAUGUUUCAAAAUCCAGAAUUGUAAGACUAAAUAAGAGAGAAAAGCCAGCCUCAUGCUGUUUCUAAGGCUCCUCAGACUCAUAAAACCACUUUUGUCUAACUAGGUGUUCUGGGCACCACCUUCAGUCAUUCAGAGAUCUCAUGUAAAGGUCGUACACCUGCCCAAGGGGUCUGUCAUAUCUCACUGCAUUCUCUCCAAUGGUUAUUUGUUAUUCAGAGUUUUGUGACAGAAGAACCAUUCAAAGUUACCUAACAUUUCUGUGUACUAGAAUUUGCGCGUGUUUGGCUAUUUAAAUCUUACCACAAAAAAUAAAAUAAAAAUAUGAUUCCAAUUUUAUGUAAGGGACAUUGAGGUUAUUUAAAAAUUAUAAGUUUAUAAAUAAUAACAGAUUUCUCCAAGAGCUUUCCCUUAGAAGACAUGGGAGCUGGGACAUAAUCUUUAGACUUUUUACCUCCCAAUUCUGUAUUCUUCUGAACACUACUCCUUCUCAAAAUAAGCAUAUUGCACUUGAACUGUGAGAAUUAGACAAGGCAUCUGCAUAACAUUACUUGUAGUUACUGAAUUUCUAAACUUAUAAUAUCAAUAAAUGCCUCAUUCCUGAUUAAGAGCUGAAAGGAGCCCUAAUAAUCAAAAAUUACAAAGCAUCGAUUUGAGGACUAUAAAUAACAAAGAAAAUUGUUUUCAAAUUCCCCCAUCUAUUCAUUAGGAAAGUUUUAAAAUGAGAUUAGAUUUAGAGGGAUGAUUAUAAUCAAGGUCAAUUAUGUAAGUGUUCCAACUACACACCACAUAUUUCUGUAUAUUAAGCUAUGACCCUAACAUUUGCUUCGGGCCACAUUCAAAACUGUGCUGAAUAAUCAUUUCUACCUGUAAUGCAUUUACUAAUUGGUAAAAUAUGUCUUUGUCAAUUGGACUCAUUCUAAACUAUUUUCAUUUCAUUAACUGAAAAUAUUGAGUUGAUUUUCUUCAAAUUGCCAUAGAUUUACCUUGACUCAUUGACAUUUAAACUUAUACAUUUCUUUCUAAAAAAAAUAAAUCCCAUCACAAACCAAUAGACAUCCUCAUUUGCAAAUCUUACUGAGGGUACUUUCAAUCUUAUUUAUCUGAUGGUUUUUGGAUGAAAGUAAUACAUUGAAUGUAAACAAAUAAUCCAAUUUUCAAUAAAAGUUGCCAUUUAUCAGUGA